ACGUACGCUGGCGGCACGCUUAACACAUGCAAGUCGAACGAAGUAGCAAUACUUAGUGGCAGACGGGUGAGUAACAUGUGGGUAUCUACCCUUUGGCCUGGAAUAACACGAGGAAACUUGUGCUAAUACCGGAUAAGUCUUUACGGAGAAAGCUUUAUGCACCAUUGGAUGAGCCCGCACUUGAUUAGUUUGUUGGUGGGGUAACGGCCUACCAAGACUUUGAUCAAUAGCUGAUUUGAGAGGAUGAUCAGCCACAUUGGGACUGAGACACGGCCCAAACUCCUACGGGAGGCAGCAGUGGGGAAUCUUGCACAAUGGAGGAAACUCUGAUGCAGCGAUGCCGCGUGAGUGAAGAAGGCCUUUGGGUUGUAAAGCUCUUUCGUCGGGGAAGAAAAUGACUGUACCCGAAUAAGAAGGUCCGGC
RNAcentral lists this ribosomal RNA (423 nucleotides) under uncultured Pseudomonadota bacterium. Its description in RNAcentral is "bacterial SSU rRNA". It matches the Rfam family "Bacterial small subunit ribosomal RNA", at positions 29 to 497 of the family's 1533-position model. The record is from RNAcentral. Lineage: Bacteria; Pseudomonadati; Pseudomonadota.